AAUUACAGGUUCAGGAAUUUGGUUUUUGAAUAAAUACUGAGGUUCUCUCACCUUCAGUUUUGUUCUUGAGAAAUACUCUUUUCAGGCUCUGAGUUUUAAUUUUAUCAGUUUGGAUAAAUCCCCUUCCCUCAAUUUUCUCUCUCUUUCUAGUUAGAGACACAUACUUUCAAACUUGUAAACUAGAAAUGCUUGCUGUGAAGUUGUAUACAACACCUAGUGAAAAAGAAUCUAAAAUGAAAUGAACAAGUGGACAGUGAUACAGUUGGAUGCCCUUACAAUCAUGAUCACUAGGAACUGCCUUUUUCUCCAUUUGAUUUCUAUAAUGGCAAUUACUACCAAGUACCAAUAAUAAAAGAAACAAGAGAGCUUGGAAAAGGUAGGCAAUCCUGGCAUUUAUUAGUAAUGCUUAUUUAUCAGCCGACAGCUAGCUGAUUUCUUUAAAAUACUUUUUUUUUUUUUUUUAGUAUCUAGAUAGAGACUAUCAAUCAUUAUGGGUUGGUUCAGAAUUCCGAUGUUUGAUUCCUGUCUAUACAGGAAAUGAAGCACAUAAUCACUAACUAAAAUAGUCUUCCGUAGUAUAUGACUUUCUGUCACCCCUGUAACGGGUUUUUAUAGCAGCAGCAUGUAGAGAGAAGUAAGAGGUUGCUUCUGGUCUUUAAGCCUUACACAUAUUAACUGUCAGAAUGGAAACCAGUCCUAGAAACUAGUGCUUGACAGCAGACUUACCACUCCGUGUGGAGAGCAGUUUCUGUUCACUUUGCCAGAAUCUCAGGUGCUAUGUUUUCAAGUCAGCACUCGAGCUUUGGGAAAUGAGGAGACGUGUGUGUGUGUGUGUGUGUGUGUGUGUGUCUGUCUGUCUGUCUGUCUGUCUGUGUGGUGAGAAAGUAGACAUUCUCCUGGGGAAAGAUGCUGGGUGGCUAUAACUAAAGAAACACCAGGAUACAAGAGACAGUCAGUUUAAUAAAAAUUUGGUUUGAGAGUAAAAUCCCCCUUGGCCCCCCCCCCCCUUUUUUUUUUUUGAGACAAGGUCUUUUUGUAGCUCUGGCUGUUCUGGAACUCACACUGUAGAUGAGGCUGGCCUUGAACUCACAGAGAUCGGCUUGCCUCUGCCUCCCAAGUGCUGGGAUUACAGGCAUGCAAAAUGCUGUUUUAUAAAGUAAGGAUCAAAACUUGAUUUUAUAGGAGAGCUUGCUUAUAAAUGUCUCUUAGGUUCUUUUCAGAACUGUUAAUUUAUAAAUAAGAAAAUUAUCCCCUUUUAUUUCUUUCCUUAUUUUUUGAGACUGGGUCUUACUAUGUAGCCCUGGCUUAUAGAGCAGGUCUCAAACUGUAAGAGAUCUGCUUGCCCCUCUACCCCAAAUGCUGGGAUUAAUGGUAUGCCCCACCAUACCUGGCUACCCCAUUUUUUAUACAGUUAUAAAAGUACAAGCUGGUUUUCCUUAUUUCAUAAGCUCAUCCCAUACAAUCGAAUGUAGUAAGUUAUCAUUAUAGUUGUUAUUCACAUUGCUUUGGUUAAAUGUGGACAUGAUGAAGCAAGAUUUAGGAAUUACUUCGUUGUCAGAGUGGUGGUGGUGAAGAGAAACUGAGUGGAGUGUUUGCCAUUAGCAGUAGGUCGUACAGCUGGCCUUGUUCAUUUGCUGACCUUUUCUUCCAUGUGCCAUAGAAGCCAUGCUAUUAGACUGCCCCAGACAGAAAGCAUGUGUGUGGUGGUGGCUGUGAAGCUCUGUCUACCUUAAAAUGAAAGAUUUUUAAAUUGUCGCCUCUUUUUAACUCUGUUUUGCUUGUCAUUGUAAACUCUAAAUGGUCAACAUAAAGUUCGCAGAGUAUAUUUUAACAUGUAUUUCAGAGGUACUACCUGGAUUAUCAGGAUAGAUGAAGCACUACAAUCUCUUAUCGGAAAAUGGAAAUAUGGAUAUUUAUAUUUUGCAUAUUUCAUCACUAGUUUCCAUUUUAUGUAAUGGGUAUUUUCCUUGCUUAUGGGGAAAGAAGCAAAACAACAGAUUUCUUUUAUAGCUUUGUCUACAUCCUCUCUGAGAGAGAAUUUGAUAACCACUAAAAUGGUAGAUUAUGUAAGAUGCAAAUACUAAGUUGUCUGUCACAUUGCCUUUUAAGAUGAGCAUGAUAUAUCUUAACACCCAAAUGAGAGUUGACCUUCAAAGCAGUUCUCUUUGGAACAUUGUUUAUUUCAGCUCCGUUACAAAGUAUGUUUCUGGAACUUUGUCCUAUGUCAUAGGUGCUUUGAGGGUUGACUUACGACCGUGUAAGAAGAAUCAGUUUCAUAUUUUUAAUAGCACAAAAACAAUUUUUUGAAGCUUAGUAGAAACUACAUUAACUACCAAACCACGCCCACUAACUUUGCUGUUAACCAGGCCAGUGUGGAAAGCAAGGGUACAUUUUAGGCUCUGCUGAGACGAGGGCUACAGAUACUGACUGCGUCAGAGAAAUAUAGGUUCCGGAUGUUACUGUUGGAAGUUGGAACCGUUAUUUACAUGUGAGAACCUUUUUAUUACUUUGUAUUUAUAUAGAACUUUAAAACCAAGGUCUUUCUCUAGAACUUGAUUUCUAUUAUCUCUCUUUUCCCUUCUCCCCCUAAAACUUUUGUAUUGUGUUUGGAUAGUUUUUUUGUUUGAGAGGAUAGUAUGGAAAAUGGAUACAGUACUUAGAACGGCAGUUUAAAGAAACAAAGCCUUUACCUCCAUUGUUUUAUAUUUUGUUUUGAACAUGUUUUUCUUUCGAUUUUUCUUUAAUGAAAAACUGGAGAUUGAUGUAUAGGGAAAUUGGAAAUAAUUUUAUUAUUAUGCCAAAUUUUAGCCUACCUAUCAUUAAUAACUAUUAAAAGUUAUGUAAGUAUUCAAAGC
This 2855-nucleotide long non-coding RNA is filed under the name Mus musculus (house mouse). Its description in RNAcentral is "long non-coding RNA chr5:88757620-88760475". Lineage: Eukaryota; Metazoa; Chordata; Mammalia; Rodentia; Muridae. The record is from RNAcentral.